UCCGUAGGGUGAACCUGCGGAAGGAUCAUUAGUGAAUAAAUAGGGUGUCCAAUUUAACUUGGAACCCGACCUUCUCACAUCUAACCCUGUGCAUCUGUAUUUAAUGGGGAGCAAUUUUCGAAUUGUGAGCCAUUUCACUUUAUAAACACUAGUCUAUGAAUGUAAAAUUUUUAUAACAAUAAAAACUUUCAACAACGGAUCUCUUGGGUCUCGCAUCGAUGAAGAACGCAGCGAAAUGCGAUACGUAAUGUGAAUUGCAGAAUUCAGUGAAUCAUCGAAUCUUUGAACGCAUCUUGCGCUCUCUGGUAUUCCGGAGAGCAUGUCUGUUUGAGUGUCAUGAAUUCUUCAACCCAACUGUUUCUUGUAAACAGCUGGUGUUUGGAUUCUGAGCGCUGCUGGGUUCGUGCCUAGCUCGUUCGUAAUACAUCAGCAUCCCUAAUACAAGUUUGGAUUGACUUGGGGUAAUAGACUAUUCGCUAAGGAUUCAAUGUUCUGCAUUGAGCCAACUUAGUUAAGGAAGCUUCUAAUUGAAAAGUCUACCUUUAGAUUAGAUCUCAAAUCAGGGAGGAUUACCCGCUGAACUUAAGCAUAUCAAUAGCGGAGGA
This 605-nucleotide ribosomal RNA is filed under the name Sporobolomyces roseus. Its description in RNAcentral is "eukaryotic LSU rRNA". The stretch from base 184 to 337 matches the Rfam family "5.8S ribosomal RNA". Lineage: Eukaryota; Fungi; Basidiomycota; Microbotryomycetes; Sporidiobolales; Sporidiobolaceae. The record is from RNAcentral.